RNAcentral lists this ribosomal RNA (329 nucleotides) under uncultured Algoriphagus sp. RNAcentral describes it as "bacterial SSU rRNA". It matches the Rfam family "Bacterial small subunit ribosomal RNA", at positions 568 to 898 of the family's 1533-position model. Lineage: Bacteria; Pseudomonadati; Bacteroidota; Cytophagia; Cytophagales; Cyclobacteriaceae. The record is from RNAcentral.
UGCGUAGGCGGCCGAUUAAGUCAGCGGUGAAAGUUUUGGGCUCAACCCAGAAAUUGCCAUUGAUACUGGUCGGCUUGAGUAUUGCAGGGGUACAUGGAAUUGAUGGUGUAGCGGUGAAAUGCAUAGAUACCAUCAGGAACACCGAUAGCGAAGGCAUUGUACUGGGCAACCACUGACGCUGAUGCACGAAAGCAUGGGGAGCGAACAGGAUUAGAUACCCUGGUAGUCCAUGCCGUAAACGAUGAUUACUCGCUGUUAUGCUCUUGUAGUGUAGCGGCCAAGCGAAAGCGUUAAGUAAUCCACCUGGGGAGUACGCCCGCAAGGGUGAA